This 70-nucleotide transfer RNA is filed under the name Christinus alexanderi (Alexander's marbled gecko). RNAcentral describes it as "tRNA-Cys". The record is from RNAcentral. Lineage: Eukaryota; Metazoa; Chordata; Lepidosauria; Squamata; Gekkonidae.
CAGCCCACGCGGUGUGAUCACGCCAAAGUGCAAAUUUGGAGACGCACCCCCAAAGGGUGCCGGGGGCUUC